GUAUUGGUGGUUCAGCGGUAGAAUCCCCGCCCUCCACGCAGGAGACCCAGGUUUGAUUCCCCGCCAAUGCA
This 71-nucleotide transfer RNA is filed under the name Loxodonta africana (African savanna elephant). It matches the Rfam family "tRNA". From Rfam's summary of the family: Transfer RNA (tRNA) molecules are approximately 80 nucleotides in length. The record is from Rfam by way of RNAcentral. Lineage: Eukaryota; Metazoa; Chordata; Mammalia; Proboscidea; Elephantidae.